Vespa mandarinia (Asian giant hornet) is the source of this 2524-nucleotide RNA transcript. RefSeq lists it as uncharacterized. The record is from RefSeq and is a predicted model, not a curated record. Lineage: Eukaryota; Metazoa; Arthropoda; Insecta; Hymenoptera; Vespidae.
GAUUUAUAUUUAAUUUAAAAAAUUUUUUUUCUUCAAUAGUUCCUAAAUAAAAAAUUAUUUCUUAUUUUCAAAAUCAAAAAUGAUAGUUCCUAAAUAUCUAUUUUAAUAGUAAUAAAGUACUUCAAUGGCAAAAGUUCGUAAGUCCAUAUUCUAAAUUAUAUCAAUCUUUAAAUUAAUUUUAUGAAGAAUUAAUAUUAAUAGUACAAUAUGAAUAUUAUAACAGAGGAUGAUAAAUUUGUCCCAUUACAUUUUGUAUUUUGUAAUUUUUAUGGUGAAGAUACAUGUUUUUGUUGGAACGAUGAUAAAUUUGUUAUGUUUCCAUACAUACAAGAAAAAUAUACAUCUUUGCUGCCAGUUUUGAUUGCACCGAGGCAAAUAAAAACUAUACAAUGUUUUUCCAAUAGAGUUUUCUUUACAUGUUUACCCCAUGGUGUAUAUAAACUUUCAAGAGAUAGAAGAUUCAGUGUAUUAAGUAAAAGUGCUAUAAGUGUUGGUUCCAUAUUUUUUGAGAUACUUAAGACAAAGGAUGAUCACUUAUAUUUGGAAAAUAAACAGAACAAAUCGAGUAAGAUAUUACUCCAUUUGCCACUCAUGUCAAAACAACUAGAAGAAUUAUGUACUUUUCCUUUGAACAUGGAAAAUUCAGAACAUGAAUUUAGAAACAUAUUACUAGAUGAAAUUGAUAUGGUAGAUAAUUUAUGUUUGAUUGGUAAUGGUAAAAAGUUAUUUACUUUAACAAAAGAAGUAAUUCAUUUAAUUCAUAGUUUUGAUAAUAAAAUAAUAAACAUUGUACCUAUACAAAAUGACAAAAAGAUUAAUGGAUUAGUACUUAUAACAAAUACAGAUGCAAUUAUCAUUGUGCAUUCAAAAAAUAAUAUAUUACGCUAUAAAAAACUUUAUCUAGGAGUAAAUGUUAAAACCCUUUGCGCAGGACUUAAUCAUCAAUGUAGCGAUAAAAUAUGGAUUGUUUAUUCCGAUGAAUCCAAAUUGUAUUACAUGAUAAUGACACUUUCUACCGAAAUAUAUAAGAAAGUAAAAAUAGAAGAAAAAAAUUUUAUUUGCCUGCAAUAUUAUGAAAAAGAUAAAUUUGUAGGUCUAACUAAAACAAAAGAACUUCAUGAAUUAUCCAUUAAUACAAUAGAAAAUUGUGUAAAUGAAGAAAUUUCCAAAGAUGAUUUUAUAAAUCUUCAUAAAGAUAUGUUAAAAGGUACAGAUUUAAUUGUUGAACAAAUCUAUGAAAGAGCAAAAGAAUUAGAAUUGUGGAAUAAAAUACUUCUUACUGAAGAAGAUAAACUUUAUAGAAUAAAUCUUUAUGCUUGCAGAAAGAAAAUACAAAUGUAUCCUAAAAUGACAGUAUAUAGAAUAGCAAAACAAUUAUUUCUUAAUAUAGAUUUUCAAGAAAAUUUACCAAAAAAUGUUUAUAUUGUUUGUUUCUUAGUAUCCAAUCAUGAAACAACUUUCUCUAUCAAAGAAAUAGUAAAUAAUGAAACUUCAAUCGAUUUACCUAUAGUAACAAAAAAAUUAUUUAAUUCUUUACAAAUCAGAAUGGAUUUAGUAACAAUCAUAAACGUAGAACAACCAUGGUUUCUUAUAAAAGAUUUUGUAACAGAUCCAGUUAUAGAGAAGAAAAAGAAACAAAAAGAAAUGCAAAUUAAGAGAGAUAAAACAAAUUUUAUAAAUGCUAAAAUAAAUCUUAUAAGGAAUUUAAUGUUGACAAAAAACUUAACUAUGAAGAAAUUAUCAGAGAUGAAAAAGAAGAUAAGAAAAGAAAUAUGUGACUUUUAAUUUAAUAAUGUAAGCAAUCAUUUCAUAACAUAAAAUGUCUUAUGUUAUUACUAUCACAAUUUUUUAAAAAAGUUUAUAAAAUCGUUUAUGUAAUUAAGAACUGGGCAUUUCUAUUAUACUUCCAAUACUGCAACUGGAACUCUUUGGUUGUUUCACAGAAUUUCUAAAACUAUUUUGUAUUCUGGGACCACCAAGUCGAUCUUGAAGUGUAUCUAAUGAUUUAGCACUUUUCUUCGAACCAUUAGCACUACGAUCUUCUUGUUCAUCGUUUUUAUUGGAACGACGUUGUAGAAUUUUGGUAACACAGACUUUAAAGUUUUCUGAGAAUAUACCAUAAAGAAUAGGAUUGACCACUGUAUUCAAUUGAGCUGUAAUAAGUGCCCAAAUGAAAUGAUGCGAUCUCAUGAAAAAAUCAGUUUGUUUAGGUGGUCUCUGAGCAUCAAUGAAAAGCAAGAGAGCGAUGAUCGUUAUUGGCAACCACAUGACUAAAACGGCAACUACGUUUAAUAAUAAAAUCCGCAUGACACGUAUAUGCUUGUGAAGACGGACUUCCUCGUGUUGUGACAUACUACCAGUUCUACCAGUACGUUCUAUAACUGAUGAUGUAGAUAAUUUUCUUCCAACCCAUGGUAUUAAUGAUCCUACCACCGAUAAUUCCGAAUCUCUUCUGUUUCCUUUACCAGUUGUUAAGUCCUAUAAGAUAUAAAAUUUAUCAAAUUAAAUUAAAAAGAUUUAGCAA